RNAcentral lists this unclassified non-coding RNA (355 nucleotides) under Hevea brasiliensis (rubber tree). The record is from RNAcentral. Lineage: Eukaryota; Viridiplantae; Streptophyta; Magnoliopsida; Malpighiales; Euphorbiaceae.
GGGAAACGAGAAAAACAGAACUUUAUGGAAUUUAGCUUGGAUAAUCCUUUUGAACCAUUUGUUAAUGAUUUCAAGACGUGAUAAUUGUCCAUUAAAAUUGGAUUUUUCUUGGGACCAUUGUAUAUCUAUGUCCUGUGAUCUAUUUGUCGAAAGGUCUUUUUUCCCUCCUCUCUACUGGUUGGAGUUGCAGAGUGUAAGGAAGUUUGUUGAAGGUUUUGGAGCACAUGAGCGGUGGAAUUGAGCCAGCAAGCUGUCAUGCGCAAUGUCUUGGUAGCAUGUGCUGGCUGGAAUUUAGAGGGGACUAUUUUUGCUUCUUUUGUGGUUAAGGAUGGAAUUCUAUGAGAUUACUUGAAAU